Molecule: non-coding RNA, 882 nt
Organism: Megalopta genalis
Lineage: Eukaryota; Metazoa; Arthropoda; Insecta; Hymenoptera; Halictidae
Source: RefSeq, a predicted model, not a curated record
GAAUGGUGGUAGCUUGCACAAUUCCAGCUUGUGGUUUCAGAGUAGCCAAAGCUUCUCUUGCUGCAGUGACUUCUUUCGUUAAUCUAGCAAUAACACGGCAAGCUGCAUCGUGCUGAUACAGGGCAUGAGAUAAUUCUUGUCUAGCUGUCUGAAGUUGCUGUCUAAGCGUAAAAGAAUGCAACAUCACAGCGUCCCACUCAUCUUGCAGAAUUUUUAAUAUAGCUGGGAUGGAUGUGGCACUUGGUGGUUUAGGCUUAACUAUCGGAGUAGCUGUAAGAAAACGAUCCACUCCAUUUUCAUUCACGUACUUCUCGAUUAAACGCCUUUCGAAUAUGGAGCCCGACACAGGUGAUAUGACGGGGUGCUCCGGCACUUCAUUGGAAACUGAAAAUUUAUUUAGUUGUAGAAGACAGCGACGGCAAUGUGAAGCAUUUUAGGCUAUGUUUAGUGUUUGCCGGCAUCGGUUUCAAUAUUCUCAAAAAAAUACGAUUCAUUUCAAAUCAUUCGCUGUAAGUUAUCUACGCGAAUCUAAUAUAAAUAUAUAGUCUGUACAUCUAAUUGAAAAAUAUCAAUUAAAAGAAGAAAAACUUACUUGCACAAGAAAGCGCCAUUUUCACACAUACGAGAUGUACAUACUGACUGCGCAAGACAAUUAACUCAUUCACUACAUUCAUCAAUUUUUGUAUAAAUUUAAACAAUUUGCAUGAACAGUUGAUGAUUCGUGUAUUUCACAAGAAAACAUUUAUGAGCUGCGUUGAAAAUGCUGUGGAAUAUUUAAAUUACAAACAUAUUACAACGCGCGAGUUACAUAUAAAGUCCAAAAAAUGAAAAUACAAUGUAAAAUAACGAUAAUAAAAACUUAUUUUUCAUAAAAGACAAUAA